GGGGGAAUUUUGGACAAUGGGGGCAACCCUGAUCCAGCAAUGCCGCGUGUGUGAAGAAGGCCUUCGGGUUGUAAAGCACUUUUGUCCGGGAAGAAAUCCCCUGCCCUAAUACGGCGGGGGGAUGACGGUACCGGAAGAAUAAGCACCGGCUAACUACGUGCCAGCAGCCGCGGUAAUACGUAGGGUGCGAGCGUUAAUCGGAAUUACUGGGCGUAAAGCGUGCGCAGGCGGUGAUGUAAGACCGAUGUGAAAUCCCCGGGCUCAACCUGGGAACUGCAUUGGUGAUUGCAUUGCUCGAGUAUGGCAGAGGGGGGUGGAAUUUCACGUGUAGCAGUGAGAUGCGUAGAGAUGUGGAGGAACACCGAUGGCGAAGGCAGCCCCCUGGGCCAAUACUGACGCUCAUGCACGAAAGCGUGGGGAGCAAACAGGAUUAGAUACCCUGGUAGUCCACGCCCUAAACGGUGUCAACUGGUUGUCGGGCCUUCAUUGGCUUGGUAACGUAGCUAACGCGUGAAGUUGACCGCCUGGGGAGUACCGUCGCAAGAUUAAAACUCAAAGGAAUUGACGG
RNAcentral lists this ribosomal RNA (568 nucleotides) under uncultured bacterium. RNAcentral describes it as "bacterial SSU rRNA". It matches the Rfam family "Bacterial small subunit ribosomal RNA", at positions 355 to 916 of the family's 1533-position model. The record is from RNAcentral.